Non-coding RNA from Dermacentor albipictus, 1007 nucleotides. NCBI's taxonomy places the organism in Eukaryota, Metazoa, Arthropoda, Arachnida, Ixodida, Ixodidae. The record is from RefSeq and is a predicted model, not a curated record.
GAGCGCCAACCUCAAGCGACACGUGCGCACCCACACAGGCGAGCGCCCCUUCUCCUGCGUGUACUGCGAUGCAUCCUUUUCGCAGAAGUCGGACCUCUUCAGUCACAUGCGCCUGCACACAGGAGAGAAGCCAUACAGAUGUAGUCGGUGCUUUCGACUGUUCCGAACCCAGUCCCAACGUGCCAGCCACUUCAAAGAGUGCAAGGGUGUGCCCACCAGGGCUCCACAACUGCAUGCACAGCUUCAGCGAAGUCGACAGCCAGGGCCACAGCCGAAGCCACAGCCACAGCCGCCAGAGCUAGCAGGGCAAGCCCUUUCCGAUGACCUACUACCGCAGGCGUGCUCACCACAAUCUGCGGACCAGGACUCUCCACAGUUAGAGCCAGUGUCGCCACCACUGUCCCUCCUUUCGCUGUUGCCAACAUUGUAGCAGCUGCAUUGUCCAUUAUGGAGCGCUUAUAUCAGCAGGCUUAGGCAGGGCGCAUCACCCCUGCAUUGUUUUCGGUGAUGUAGUAUACACAGACAAUUAACAUUUCUGUUGCUUUUUUCACUUUUUUCCUUUUUCACGCUACCAUUCCGGUGAGUUGGCUUGUACAAAGCAUUAGCUCCGAGUGCCCAAAUGGAACAGAGCUGAAAUACAGAAAGAAAGUUCUUCGAAUUGUGCUUAUAUAUUGUUUUAUGCCAAAUAGCUGACAAAUGGCAUUUUUUUACUUUACGGUGUUUAUGGCUCUGCCUUAGCGUAUGGUGCAGGCUGUUGUGUCAACAGUAACAAAAUGCUGUUUGCAAGACGUUUCUUCUUAGGAUGUGUUAGUCUGCUUUGAGGAAAUAGGUGCGAAAGACGCUGUAGGAAGAAAAUGUGGAAUGUGAACUAGUUCAACGCUUUGUUAAGUCACUACAUAUUUGCCAUGCAAAUCGCUUGGAAUGCAGCAGCCUCAUCGUACUAUUUACAUGUUUAAGGGGAGAUGCUACUUGGAGAAAAAAAAUCUUUAUUAAAAAAUGGUCUGCCA